UACGUAGGGGGCUAGCGUUGUCCGGAAUCAUUGGGCGUAAAGCGCGUGUAGGCGGUCCGGUAAGUCCGCUGUGAAAGUCGAGGGCUCAACCCUCGAAUGCCGGUGGAUACUGUCGGGCUAGAGUACGGAAGAGGCGAGUGGAAUUCCUGGUGUAGCGGUGAAAUGCGCAGAUAUCAGGAGGAACACCAAUUGCGAAGGCGGCUUCCUGGACACCAACUGACGCUGAGACGCGAAAGCGUGGGGAGCAAACAGG
This 253-nucleotide ribosomal RNA is filed under the name uncultured bacterium. RNAcentral's name for it is "partial 16S ribosomal RNA". It matches the Rfam family "Bacterial small subunit ribosomal RNA", at positions 524 to 776 of the family's 1533-position model. The record is from RNAcentral.